GGUAUGAAUGGCUAAACGAGAAAUUAACUUUUUUUGUUAUAAAAAUUGAAUUUAAUUUUUUAGUGAAAAAGCUAAAAUUUUUCAGAAAGACGAGAAGACCCUAUAGAGUUUUAUAUUAUAUUUUAUUAUUUCUAAUUUGAUUUUUAAAGAUAGAAUAAAAGAAAAUAUUUUGUUGGGGCGACAUUUAGAUAAAAAAAACUCUUUAUUUUAAAAAUUUAUAUAAAAAGAUAUUUGAUCCUCUAAAAGAGAUCAAAAGAAAAAAUUACCUUAGGGAUAACAGCGUAAUCUUUUUUGAGAGUUCUAAUCGACAAAAAGGUUUGCGACCU
RNAcentral lists this ribosomal RNA (326 nucleotides) under Acasta cyathus. Its description in RNAcentral is "partial large subunit ribosomal RNA". Lineage: Eukaryota; Metazoa; Arthropoda; Thecostraca; Balanomorpha; Balanidae. The record is from RNAcentral.